Molecule: transfer RNA, 92 nt
Filed under: Patescibacteria group bacterium
Lineage: Bacteria
Description: tRNA-Ser
Rfam family: tRNA
About the family: Transfer RNA (tRNA) molecules are approximately 80 nucleotides in length. Their secondary structure includes four short double-helical elements and three loops (D, anti-codon, and T loops).
Source: RNAcentral
GGAGAGAUACCCAAGAGGCUGAAGGGGCGGGUUUGCUAAACCUGUAGGGAGCCAAAAGCUCCGCGAGGGUUCGAAUCCCUCUCUCUCCGCCA